Molecule: ribosomal RNA, 391 nt
Filed under: Cyrtopodion sistanense
Lineage: Eukaryota; Metazoa; Chordata; Lepidosauria; Squamata; Gekkonidae
Description: partial 12S ribosomal RNA
Rfam family: Bacterial small subunit ribosomal RNA
Source: RNAcentral
GCUUAGCCAUAAACCUAGAUAGUAUUAAAACCCACUAUCCGCCAGAGAAUUACGAGCGAAAAGCUUAAAACUCAAAAGACUUGACGGUGUCCCAUAGCACCCUAGAGGAGCCUGUCCUACAAUCGAUAACCCACGUACCACCCAACCCACCCUCGCACACCCCAGUCUAUAUACCGCCGUCUACAGCCUACCUAAUGAUAGAAACAUAGUAGGCAAAACAGCUAUCACGCUAGAACGUCAGGUCAAGGUGUAACUAAUGGGCGGGCAGAGAUGGGCUACAUUUUCUAAACUAGACUACCACCAACGGCAACAUGAAAACUUAGGCCUAAAAGGAGGAUUUAGCAGUAAGUUGGACUACAACCCCCCAACUGAAGUCCGCUCUGGGACGCGU